AGUGAACGCUGGCGGUAGGCCUAACACAUGCAAGUCGAACGGCAGCACAGUAAGAGCUUGCUCUUACGGGUGGCGAGUGGCGGACGGGUGAGGAAUACAUCGGAAUCUACUUUUUCGUGGGGGAUAACGUAGGGAAACUUACGCUAAUACCGCAUACGACCUACGGGUGAAAGCAGGGGAUCUUCGGACCUUGCGCGAUUGAAUGAGCCGAUGUCGGAUUAGCUAGUUGGCGGGGUAAAGGCCCACCAAGGCGACGAUCCGUAGCUGGUCUGAGAGGAUGAUCAGCACAACGGGAACUGGGACACGGUCCAGACUCCUACGGGAGGCAGAAGUGGGGAAUAUUGGAAAAGGGGCGCAAGCCUGAUCCAGCCAUACCGGGGGGGUGAAGAAGGCCUUCGGGUUGUAAAGCCCUUUUUUUGGGAAAGAAAAGCAGCAGGUUAAUCCCCCGCUGUUCGGACGGUACCCAAAGAAUAAGCACCGGCUAACUUCGU
Molecule: ribosomal RNA, 491 nt
Filed under: uncultured bacterium
Lineage: Bacteria
Description: partial 16S ribosomal RNA
Rfam family: Bacterial small subunit ribosomal RNA
Source: RNAcentral